ACAAUUUUCAGCGACGGAUAUCUUGGCUAGCACCUAUGAGGGGCGCAGCGAAGUGCGAUAAUCGCUGUGAAUUGCAACUCCGUGAACCAAUGGCCUCUUGAACGUGCAAUGCGCUCUUGGGAUGCCUGAGAGCAUGUCUGCUUCAGUG
This 148-nucleotide ribosomal RNA is filed under the name Symbiodinium sp. HIMB. RNAcentral describes it as "5.8S ribosomal RNA". It matches the Rfam family "5.8S ribosomal RNA". Rfam says of the family: 5.8S ribosomal RNA (5.8S rRNA) is a component of the large subunit of the eukaryotic ribosome. It is transcribed by RNA polymerase I as part of the 45S precursor that also contains 18S and 28S rRNA. The record is from RNAcentral. Lineage: Eukaryota; Dinophyceae; Suessiales; Symbiodiniaceae.